ACUUACACUGUAAAAAAAAUCUGUAAAAUAACAGUUAAAUGACUGUAUAUUUUAACAGAUUUUUUCCGUAUACACGUAUUACGGGUGUUUUUCCGUUUAUAUACAUUUUCGAAUUGCAUUGUGGGAAGGGGAUCGCAGCUCAGACAGCGUUUGAUGGACACCGGGACAUAUUUCUUCCUCUGUUUUUUCCCUGUUGUUUGUCCGUAUUUUUCUAAACUGCCGUGCGCGGGAAGUGACGUGACGUCCCAAUCACCCACUCACUCCCUCUGCACCUGCGUGAGUCUGACUGGAUUAACGGUAAACGUCAGCUUGUCUGUGAGAGUGUGAAAGGUGUGUUGGUGUAAAAAUUGAUGCUGACUGAACUCAGGCAGUUGUGCUGGACCUUCUGUACUUUAUACAGGAGAUGACAGUAAACUUUCAAGUUUAAGAGCCACCUGAUGAUGAGAGAGACAAUUUCAAUGUGGGCAUCUUGAUGAAGAAGAGUCCACAGUCACAAUAACAAGAUCAUUGGGCUGUCCCCUAAUUGUGGUGAGCUACAUGUUUAGUCUCUUAUGUGCUAAACAUUAUGUAGCCUAAGGAAGCAGCCCUGACUCUGGAGUUUAUAUGAAGGAGCAUGCUGAGUAACUAUCCAGAAUGUAGGUCCAAAGCAGAAAAAAGAGCACCAAGCAGAAACAUACCAUCUAAACUCCUUCGAUUCCUGUCAGACCAGAAAGACUUUCAGAAUCCUUGGAAGAUUUAAAGCCAUUGAAGUAUCAGUAUUGGAGCGGAAGAAGACCCAGUUGUAUCGUCUGUUUCCUGCCAUCUUGCAGUUUAACCUGGUUUCUUAAUGUAAAGUACUUGUAAUUUGCCCACUUGUCCUCAAUUAUCUUAAAGCUAACAUUUAAAACUAAUUUGCUAUGAGAUUAUUUGCCAAGACCUCUCACUGUGUGAUUCACAUGUCAAUAUGUAUUAUUGUGUGUAUAACUAGCUAUUUGGAAUUCAAAUGAUUUGUAUUCAUUAAAGAAUCUGUUU
Non-coding RNA from Danio rerio (zebrafish), 1011 nucleotides. Lineage: Eukaryota; Metazoa; Chordata; Actinopteri; Cypriniformes; Danionidae. The record is from RefSeq and is a predicted model, not a curated record.